GUCUACGGCCAUACCACCCUGAAUGCGCCCAAUCUCAUCUGAUCUCGGAAGCUAAGCAGGGUCAGACCUGGUUAGUACUUGGAUGGAAUUCCGCCUGGGACUACCGGGUGCUGCAGACU
Ribosomal RNA from Callithrix jacchus (white-tufted-ear marmoset), 119 nucleotides. The record is from Ensembl. NCBI's taxonomy places the organism in Eukaryota, Metazoa, Chordata, Mammalia, Primates, Cebidae.